Molecule: ribosomal RNA, 478 nt
Filed under: uncultured bacterium
Lineage: Bacteria
Description: partial 16S ribosomal RNA
Rfam family: Bacterial small subunit ribosomal RNA
Source: RNAcentral
GACGAACGCUGGCGGCGUGCUUAACACAUGCAAGUCGAACGGUAAGGCCCUUCGGGGUACACGAGUGGCGAACGGGUGAGUAACACGUGGGUGAUCUGCCCUGCACUUCGGGAUAAGCCUGGGAAACUGGGUCUAAUACCGGAUAGGACCCUGGGAUGCAUGUCCUGGGGUGGAAAGCUUUUGCGGCGUGGGAUGGGCCCGCGGCCUAUCAGCUUGUUGGUGGGGGGAUGGCCUAACCAGGCGACGACGGGUAGCCGGCCUGGGAGGGUGACCGGCGACACUGGGACUGAGAUACGGCCCAGACUCCUACGGGAGGCAGCAGUGGGGAAUAUUGCACAAUGGGCGCAAGCCUGAUGCAGCGACGCCGCGUGAGGGAUGACGGCCUUCGGGUUGUAAACCUCUUUCAGCACCGACGAAGCGCAAGUGACGGUAGGUGCAGAAGAAGGACCGGCCAACUACGUGCCAGCCGCCGCAGUAA